This is a long non-coding RNA of Tympanuchus pallidicinctus (lesser prairie-chicken), 1272 nucleotides long. RefSeq lists it as uncharacterized. The record is from RefSeq and is a predicted model, not a curated record. The transcript has 3 exons. NCBI's taxonomy places the organism in Eukaryota, Metazoa, Chordata, Aves, Galliformes, Phasianidae.
GGGAUUUCUAUGAAAAUAAGCGAUAUUUUAGAGGAAAAACAGGGAUUUCCAUGAAAAUAAGCGAUAUUUUAUGUUAAAAACAGGGAUUUCUAUGAAAAUAAGCGAUAUUUUAGGGUUAAAAGCAGGGAUUUCCAUAAAAAUAAGCGAUAUUUUAUGUUAAAAACAGGGAUUUCUGUGAAAAUAAGCGAUAUUUUAGGGGAAAAACAGGGAUUUCCAUGAAAAUAAGUGAUAUUUUAGGGUUAAAAACAGGGAUUUCCAUGAAAAUAAGCGAUAUUUUAGGGGAAAAACAGGGAUUUCUAUGAAAAUAAGCGAUAUUUUAGGGGAAAAACAGGGAUUUCCAUGAAAAUAAGCGAUAUUUUAGGGUUAAAAGCAGGGAUUUCCAUGAAUAUAAGCGAUAUUUUAGGGAUAAAAACAGGGAAUUCUGUGAAAAUAAGCGAUAUUUUAGGGUUAAAAACAGGGAUUUCGAUGAAAAUAAGCGAUAUUUUAGGGGAAAAACAGGGAUUUCUAUGAAAAUAAGCGAUAUUUUAGGGUUAAAAACAGGGAUUUGCAUGAAAAUCAGUGAUAUUUCAGGGUUAAAAACAGGGAUUUCCAUGAAAAUAAGCGAUAUUUUAGGGUUAAAAACAGGGAUUUCGAUGAAAAUAAGCGAUAUUUUAGGGGAAAAACAGGGAUUUCUAUGAAAAUAAGCGAUAUUUUAGGGUUAAAAACAGGGAUUUCGAUGAAAAUAAGCGAUAUUUUAGGGGGAAAAACAGGGAUUUCUAUGAAAAUAAGCGAUAUUUUAGGGUUAAAAACAGGGAUUUCGAUGAAAAUAAGCGAUAUUUUAGGGUUAAAAGCAGGGAUUUCCAUGAAAAUAAGCGAUAUUUUAGGGAUAAAAACAGGGAUUUCCAUGAAAAUAAGCGAUAUUUUAGGGUUAAAAACAGGGAUUUCUAUGAAAAUAAGCGAUAUUUUAGGUUAAAAACAGGGAUUUCUAUGAAAAUAAGCGAUAUUUUAGGGGAAAAACAGGGAUUUCUAUGAAAAUAAGCGAUAUUUUAGGGUUAAAAACAGGGAUUUCUAUGAAAAUAAGCGAUAUUUUAGGGUUAAAAACAGGGAUUUCUAUGAAAAUAAGCGAUAUUUUAGGGAAAAACAGGGAUUUCUAUGAAAAUAAGCGAUAUUUUAGGGGGAAAAGCAGGGAUUUCUAUGAAAAUAAGCGAUAUUUUAGGGUUAAAAACAGGGAUUUCUAUGAAAAUAAGCGAUAUUUUAGGGGAAAAACAGGGAUUUCCAUGAAAAUAAGCGAUA